Molecule: non-coding RNA, 556 nt
Organism: Paramuricea clavata
Lineage: Eukaryota; Metazoa; Cnidaria; Anthozoa; Malacalcyonacea; Plexauridae
Source: the annotation of a GenBank genome assembly
UGUCGCGCGGGAGCGAAAAGGACGGGAAAUUUAGAAAAGAAAAGUAAAUAAGAAUAGAAAAUAAAAGUAUAAUUUCAGAAGUCUGCGAAGGUGAAAUAUAACAGUUAAUGUGUCAUUAAAUGUCCAGGUAUGUAACAUAGCUUUCAACUUUUGUUGGAAAUAAACACCAUGAAUUACGACUACAGCUUGUCGAUUUAUUAGCGACAGGCAGUCAGGACAUAGUGACAUACAGCUGUACAGACGUACUACGACACAAUCUGACAGCUGCAUAAUUUUAUUGUUUGAAGAUUACAUCGUCUGUUACACUCUGUUUGGUAUUCAGCUCACUUUAUUCCAAUUCGCAGUAGUGGUAUCAUUGGGAUAGUUUUGUAUUUUAGAAUCACAACAGACUGUAAAACACUGCUGUCUGUCACUGCAUGCAUGCACACGCCCAUAUUUCAUGGAUUCAAUGGAAUCGUCAUGCAUGUUCCACCAUAGAGUAGCAUACAGUGAUGCUUCAGUUUUAUCCACCAACGCAUUCUUUAAUCCAAGCUGCUGUCAUCUAUUUUUUUUCUGC